GAGUUUGAUCAUGGCUCAGAACGUACGCUGGCGGCACGCCUAACACAUGCAAGUCGAACGAAGUAGCAAUACUUAGUGGCGAACGGGUGAGUAUAAUGUGGGUAUCUGCCCUUUGGUUUGGAAUAACACGAGGAAACUUGUGCUAAUACCAGAUAAGCCUUUACAGGGAAAGCUUUAUGCGCCGAUGGAUGAGCCCGCACUUGAUUAGCUAGUUGGUAAGGUAAUAGCUUACCAAGGCUACGAUCAAUAGCUGAUCUGAGAGGAUGAUCAGCCACAUUGGGACUGAGACACGGCCCAAACUCCUACGGGAGGCAGCAGUGGGGAAUCUUGCACAAUGGGGGAAACCCUGAUGCAGCGAUGCCGCGUGAGUGAAGAAGGCCUUUGGGUUGUAAAGCUCUUUCGUCGGGGAAGAAAAUGACUGUACCCGAAUAAGAAGGUCCGGCUAACUUCGUGCCAGCAGCCGCGGUAAUACGAAGGGACCUAGCGUAGUUCGGAAUUACUGGGCUUAAAGAGCACGUAGGUGGUUAGAAAAGUUGGUGGUGAAAUCCCAAGGCUUAACCUUGGAACUGCCAUCAAAACUUUUUAACUAGAGUGUGAUAGAGGUAAGCGGAAUUUCUAGUGUAGAGGUGAAAUUCGUAGAUAUUAGAAAGAACACCAAUUGCGAAGGCAGCUUUCUGGAUCAUUACUGACACUGAGGUGCGAAAGCAUGGGUAGCGAAGAGGAUUAGAUACCCUCGUAGUCCAUGCUGUAAACGAUGUGUGCUAGACGUUGGAAAUUUAUUUUUCAGUGUCGCAGCAAAAGCGUUAAGCACACCGCCUGGGGAGUACGACCGCAAGGUUAAAACUCAAAUGAAUUGACGGGGACCCGCACAAGUAGUGGAGCAUGUGGUUUAAUUCGAAGAUACGCGCAGAACCUUACCAACACUUGACAUGUUCGUCGCGACUCUAAGAGAUUAGAGUCUUCGGUUCGGCCGGACGAAACACAGGUGCUGCAUGGCUGUCGUCAGCUCGUGUCGUGAGAUGUUGGGUUAAGUCCCGCAACGAGCGCAACCCUUACUUUUAGUUGCCACCAUUUAGUUGAGCACUCUAAAAGAACUGCCAGUGAUAAGCUGGAGGAAGGUGGGGAUGACGUCAAGUCCUCAUGGCCCUUACGUGUUGGGCUACACACGUGCUACAAUGGUAUUUACAAUGAGAUGCGAAGAGGCGACUCUAAGCUAAUCCCAAAAAAGUACCUCAGUUCGGAUUGCACUCUGCAACUCGAGUGCAUGAAGCUGGAAUUACUAGUAAUCGUGGAUCAGCGCGCCACGGUGAAUACGUUCCCGGGUCUUGUACACACCGCCCGUCACACCAUGGAAGUUGGUUACACCUUAAGGCAAAGCAUAAAACCUUUGACUACGGUACGAUCAGCGACUGGGGUGAAGUCGUAACAAGGUAGCCG
This 1437-nucleotide ribosomal RNA is filed under the name uncultured bacterium. RNAcentral describes it as "bacterial SSU rRNA". It matches the Rfam family "Bacterial small subunit ribosomal RNA". The record is from RNAcentral.